GAAAGAUGGCGCGUAAACAACACGAGCGCGCGAGCGUUCAUAUCCACGUGAAUACAUUUGAAAUAUCACAAACCUUUUUUUUCUUCUUCUUAUUCGUUUGUUGUUGCUGCUCCAGAGAGCUGCAAACGGCCCCGCUGUGGUGGGAGCGGGAUGAUGCGAGGCUGUAACAGGCUGAAACAGUGGCUUGUUGCAGAGUCAUCUGCAGCCUUCUCUAGAUAAAAGAGUAGCUGGUGUUUCAACCCUUAGCGUUGUAGCAUUCUACACGAGUUUCACACAAGUGUGCAACAAGAAGUCACGGUUUGGGUUUAUUUCCUGUCUUAUUUUGUAGUUUUCUGCCUCUUGUCUCCCUGGGUAACUUCACUUCCUGCCUUGUCCUGUCAUCCCCUGUGAUUGUCUGAUUCUUUCCACCUGUGUCCAAUC
Molecule: long non-coding RNA, 420 nt
Organism: Gasterosteus aculeatus aculeatus (three-spined stickleback)
Lineage: Eukaryota; Metazoa; Chordata; Actinopteri; Perciformes; Gasterosteidae
Source: Ensembl